UUCCGGUGCACCGGCUGCCGGUGUCGUGGCGUCUGCCCGCGUCGGCGGCGCCGCUGGUGUCGGAGGCGUUCUACCCGUUCACCGGGUUCC
This 90-nucleotide transfer RNA is filed under the name Actinomadura sp. NBRC 104425. Its description in RNAcentral is "tRNA-Arg". The record is from RNAcentral. Lineage: Bacteria; Bacillati; Actinomycetota; Actinomycetes; Streptosporangiales; Thermomonosporaceae.